UACGGAGGGUGCAAGCGUUACUCGGAAUCACUGGGCGUAAAGGGCGCGUAGGCGGAUUAUCAAGUCUCUUGUGAAAUCUAAUGGCUUAACCAUUAAACUGCUUGGGAAACUGAUAGUCUAGAGUGAGGGAGAGGCAGAUGGAAUUGGUGGUGUAGGGGUAAAAUCCGUAGAUAUCACCAAGAAUACCCAUUGCGAAGGCGAUCUGCUGGAACUCAACUGACGCUAAGGCGCGAAAGCGUGGGGAGCAAACAGG
This 253-nucleotide ribosomal RNA is filed under the name Campylobacter upsaliensis. RNAcentral describes it as "partial 16S ribosomal RNA". It matches the Rfam family "Bacterial small subunit ribosomal RNA", at positions 524 to 776 of the family's 1533-position model. The record is from RNAcentral. Lineage: Bacteria; Pseudomonadati; Campylobacterota; Epsilonproteobacteria; Campylobacterales; Campylobacteraceae. RNAcentral also lists the same sequence under 1 other name.